This is a long non-coding RNA of Cotesia glomerata, 883 nucleotides long. RefSeq lists it as uncharacterized. The transcript is spliced from 2 exons. The record is from RefSeq and is a predicted model, not a curated record. NCBI's taxonomy places the organism in Eukaryota, Metazoa, Arthropoda, Insecta, Hymenoptera, Braconidae.
UUGAAUUUGAAUCUGCCAUUUUGAGGUUAGAAAAAAGCAUCCUCAACUAUUAACUCUCCUUCGGCUCGGCCAUAACAGAUCAAUAGUUCAGGAUUACGCAUUUGUAGUAUGAUAUAUCCAUGUUUUAUAUAUUCAAAAUGAAGUUAUGAUAGCUACCUGUGAGAAGGAUUUUACGCAGCAGCAUCUGAUGGUAGUUUGUAUUACUUCUAGCUGCGUAGUAGAUGACAUCAUCAGACAGGUCUGAACCUGUUCAAGGUCACGGUAACUGCGUAGUUCUCUUUGUUCUAUUUCUAACUGCGUAGUAGAUGACGUCAUCAAUCCGGUUUUGAGGUAGAGGAGUGGGGUUAACUGCGCAGUAUUUUCUGUCUAUAUAAGCAGUUCGCCGAGAGCGUACUUCACACAAACGAAGUACACGUCUCCAGUGAAGUACCAGUUUGACGGCAGGCAAUAGUGAAGUACGAGUUCUUGGUGAUAUACAUCUUCUACCUAUCAGUAUUACUAAUUCUAUCAAUCAUGGAUCUUACCAAGAUAAAUGAGGUUAAUUGUCUUACUGGGGUUCUUCCUGUUAAAAAAAUGAUCGAGUUGGAGUUUAAUCGAGAAUAUAAGAUUAACGGUAUCAAAGCUAUUACAAAUCAGUAUGGGACUAGGAUUGUUGUCAAUAUAAACGAUGAAUUUAACAUUUAUUUACCAUCUAGAACUAUUCAACAUCUAAAAGAUGAUAACUUCAUUAAGAGUUUGAAUGAAUUAAUAGAUUCAAACUACCUGUUUCUGCGUUUCCUAGGUGGAAAAUAUAAUAAAUUUGAAUUUAUUAAUUCUAGUCUUGAUGUAAAAAUGACCAGUGGAAUUAUUUAAUCAAUAAAAUAUUGUAUUUCAAUAUAAAUAA